CCUACGGGACGCAGCAGUGAGGAAUAUUGGUCAAUGGGCGGGAGCCUGAACCAGCCAAGUCGCGUGAGGGAAGACGGUCCUAUGGAUUGUAAACCUCUUUUGUCGGGGAGCAAAGAGAUCACGUGUGGUCAAAAGCGAGAGUACCCGAAGAAAAAGCAUCGGCUAACUCCGUGCCAGCAGCCGCGGUAAUACGGAGGAUGCGAGCGUUAUCCGGAUUUACUGGGUGUAAAGGGAGCGUAGACGGUGCGCCAAGUCUGGAGUGAAAUGCCGCAGCUUAACUGCGGAACUGCUUUGGAAACUGGCGA
Molecule: ribosomal RNA, 305 nt
Filed under: uncultured bacterium
Lineage: Bacteria
Description: bacterial SSU rRNA
Rfam family: Bacterial small subunit ribosomal RNA
Source: RNAcentral